Molecule: RNase P RNA, 324 nt
Filed under: human gut metagenome
Description: Bacterial RNase P class A
Rfam family: Bacterial RNase P class A
About the family: Ribonuclease P (RNase P) is a ubiquitous endoribonuclease, found in archaea, bacteria and eukarya as well as chloroplasts and mitochondria. Its best characterised activity is the generation of mature 5'-ends of tRNAs by cleaving the 5'-leader elements of precursor-tRNAs.
Source: RNAcentral
GCCGCCGGCGCGUAGCGCGGGAGGAAAGUCCGGGCUCCGCAGGGCGUGAUGCAGGAGAAAUUCCUGCGGGUGCGAACCCAGGGAAAGUGCCGCAGAAAAGCAAACCGCCGCGAAAGCGGUAAGGAUGAAAAGGCGGGGUAAGAGCCCACCGGCCGCGAGGGGAACCCGCGGGCCUGGCAAACCCCAUCAGGAGCAAGGUCGAAUAGGGGAGGAUGAGGCGGCCCGCCGACUCCCGGGUACGACCGCUGAAGCCCGCGCGCAAGCGCGGGAUUAGAUAAAUGGCUGGCGGGGGACGUCCCCUUACAAAACCCGGCUUACAGGGUG